This 512-nucleotide long non-coding RNA is filed under the name Monodelphis domestica (gray short-tailed opossum). RNAcentral describes it as "lncRNA (ENSMODG00000036892.1)". The record is from RNAcentral. Lineage: Eukaryota; Metazoa; Chordata; Mammalia; Didelphimorphia; Didelphidae.
CGGCCUCAAGCAUUAGAUCAGGACACGUCCAGUCCCAUGACCAGCGGUGAGCCUUGAGCUGCAAGGAGCCUCAGAGGCCAAGCUGGUUCAACCACCUCGUUUUAGACUGGGGAAACUGAGGCCCAGGGGCUUGGCCAAGAUCCCACAUGGAACAAAUGUCAGUCCAUAAACAUUCCUGAAGCAGCGCCCACGUUCCAGGCUUUCUGCUGGGUGCUGAGGACACACAGCCAAGAGGGACGCCACCCCGUUCUUGAGAAGCUGAUCAUGCAUAGCUCUCCAUCUCGGGCUAGGAGGUCUCCCCGCCUGUGCCCCAGCUGAGACUCCCUCCCACCUGGCCCUAGCUGACUGAGCAGGGCUUCUCCCACUGGAAUGGAAGCUCCUAGAGGGCAAGAAUUUGUUUUGGCUUUUCCUCUUUUGGCCGCCCCCUGGCACAGUGCCUGGACUGCAGUGGGCACCGAAUGGCCGCCCGGUGACUCCGCUGCCCGACGGUCACUUAAAUACAGGUCAGGAGA